GAUGAACGCUGGCGGCGUGCCUAAUACAUGCAAGUCGAGCGAACAGACGAGGAUCUUGCUCCUUUGACGUUAGCGGCGGACGGGUGAGUAACACGUGGAUAACCUACCUAUAAGACUGGGAUAACUUCGGGAAACCGGAGCUAAUACCGGAUAACAUGUUGAACCGCAUGGUUCAACAGUGAAAGACGGUCUUGCUGUCACUUCUAGAUGGAUCCGCGCCGCAUUAGCUAGUUGGUAAGGUAACGGCUUACCAAGGCAACGAUGCGUAGCCGACCUGAGAGGGUGACCGCCGACACUGGAACUGAGACACGGUCCAGACUCCUACGGGAGGCAGCAGUAGGGAAUCGUCCGCAAUGGGCGAAAGCCUGACGGAGCAACGCCGCGUGAGUGAAGAAGGUCUUCGGAUCGGAAAACUCUGUUAUGAGGGAAGAACAAAUGUGUAAGUAACUAUGCACGUCUUGACGGUACCUAAUCAGAAAGCCACGGCUAACUACGUG
This 497-nucleotide ribosomal RNA is filed under the name uncultured bacterium. RNAcentral's name for it is "partial 16S ribosomal RNA". It matches the Rfam family "Bacterial small subunit ribosomal RNA", at positions 28 to 507 of the family's 1533-position model. The record is from RNAcentral.